Molecule: ribosomal RNA, 253 nt
Filed under: uncultured bacterium
Lineage: Bacteria
Description: partial 16S ribosomal RNA
Rfam family: Bacterial small subunit ribosomal RNA
Source: RNAcentral
UACGUAGGGCGCGAGCGUUGUCCGGAUUUAUUGGGCGUAAAGAGCUCGUAGGCGGCUCGUCGCGUCGACCGUGAAAACCCGCGGCUUAACUGCGGGCUUGCGGUUGAUACGGGCGGGCUAGAGUUCGGUAGGGGAGACUGGAAUUCCUGGUGUAGCGGUGAAAUGCGCAGAUAUCAGGAGGAACACCGGUGGCGAAGGCGGGUCUCUGGGCCGAUACUGACGCUGAGGAGCGAAAGCGUGGGGAGCGAACAGG